RNAcentral lists this non-coding RNA (102 nucleotides) under Clostridiales bacterium oral taxon 876 str. F0540. Its description in RNAcentral is "Purine riboswitch aptamer". It matches the Rfam family "Purine riboswitch aptamer". Rfam says of the family: Riboswitches are metabolite binding domains within certain messenger RNAs that serve as precision sensors for their corresponding targets. Allosteric rearrangement of mRNA structure is mediated by ligand binding, and this results in modulation of gene expression. RNAcentral also lists the same sequence under 1 other name. The record is from Rfam by way of RNAcentral. Lineage: Bacteria; Bacillati; Bacillota; Clostridia; Eubacteriales.
AUUAAAACAGAAUAUUCCAUCCAUAUAAUUCUGAUGAUAUGGUUCAGAAGUUUCUACGAGAAAACCUUAAAUUUUCUGUCUAUGGGUGAGUCCUAAAAGCAU